GCGCCGCUAGCUCAGUUGGUAGAGCAGGGGCCUCUUAAGCCCAAGGUCCUGGGUUCAAUCCCCAGGCGGCGUACCA
RNAcentral lists this transfer RNA (76 nucleotides) under Candidatus Magasanikiibacteriota bacterium. RNAcentral's name for it is "tRNA-Lys". It matches the Rfam family "tRNA". Rfam says of the family: Transfer RNA (tRNA) molecules are approximately 80 nucleotides in length. Their secondary structure includes four short double-helical elements and three loops (D, anti-codon, and T loops). Further hydrogen bonds mediate the characteristic L-shaped molecular structure. tRNAs have two regions of fundamental functional importance: the anti-codon, which is responsible for specific mRNA codon recognition, and the 3' end, to which the tRNAs corresponding amino acid is attached (by aminoacyl-tRNA synthetases). tRNAs cope with the degeneracy of the genetic code in two manners: having more than one tRNA (with a specific anti-codon) for a particular amino acid; and 'wobble' base-pairing, i.e. permitting non-standard base-pairing at the 3rd anti-codon position. The record is from RNAcentral. Lineage: Bacteria; Candidatus Magasanikiibacteriota.